RNAcentral lists this ribosomal RNA (459 nucleotides) under uncultured bacterium. Its description in RNAcentral is "bacterial SSU rRNA". It matches the Rfam family "Bacterial small subunit ribosomal RNA", at positions 28 to 507 of the family's 1533-position model. The record is from RNAcentral.
GAUGAACGUUGGCGGUGUGCCUAAUACAUGCAAGUCGAACGGAGACUGUAGCAAUACUGUCUUAGUGGCGAACGGGUGAGUAACGCGUUGGUGAUCUGCCUCGAAGUGUGGAAUAACCUCCCGAAAGGGAAGCUAAUACCGCAUAGUCUCUCAAGGUUUAGAAAAUUGAGAGUAAAGGAUUUAUUCGCUUCGAGAGGAGCCUGCGUCCCAUCAGCUAGUUGGUAGGGUAACGGCCUACCAAGGCAAUGACGGGUAGGGGACCUGAGAGGGUGGCCCCCCACAAUGGAACUGAAACACGGUCCAUACACCUACGGGUGGCAGCAGUAGGGAAUAUUAGAAAUGGGCGGAAGCCUGAUCUAGCAACACCGCGUGUGCGAUGAAGGCCCUUGGGUCGUAAAGCACUUUUUGGAGGGAAUAGGAAGGAAGGUACCUCCAGAAUAAGUCUCGGCUAACUACGUG